GAUGAACACUAGCGAUAGGCUUAACACAUGCAAGUCGAGGGGCAGCAUGGUCUUAGCUUGCUAAGACUGAUGGCGACCGGCGCACGGGUGCGUAACGCGUAUGCAACUUGCCUCACAGAGGGGGAUAACCCGUCGAAAGACGGACUAAUACCGCGUACACUCCAUCUUGGGCAUCCAAGGUAGAGGAAAUGAAAUUCGCUGUGAGAUAGGCAUGCGUCCCAUUAGCUAGUUGGUGAGGUAACGGCUCACCAAGGCGACGAUGGGUAGGGGAACUGAGAGGUGAAACCCCCCACCUGUAACGAGGCACCGACCCGAAUCCCUCGGGAGGCAGCAGUGAGGAAUAUUGGUCAAUGGGCGAGAGCCUGAACCAGCCAAGUCGCGUGAAGGAUGACUGUCUUAUGGAUUGUAAACUUCUUUUAUACGGGAAUAACAAGAGUCACGUGUGACUCCCUGCAUGUACCGUAUGAAUAAGCAUCGGCUAACUCCGUG
Molecule: ribosomal RNA, 489 nt
Filed under: uncultured bacterium
Lineage: Bacteria
Description: partial 16S ribosomal RNA
Rfam family: Bacterial small subunit ribosomal RNA
Source: RNAcentral